ACUUCUGCUGAGGCGUGCGCUCGCCGGCUGGAGUCCCACCUCUUGCUGCAGUCCGGCGAGACUCCUGGGACGAAUCCAUUCUUUCUCCUACUUCCUCUCUAGCAGGCACUCUGAGUCCUCCGCAAAAGAAUGUGCAGGAUCAGAGGCCUCUUUCCAUUCUGCAAGGGUCACGCAAGACCCAUGGAAUUCAACAGGAGGCAAUCUAGGGACUAUAAAAGGUCGCGACGUCUGGCUUGAGGUUAAUGGAAGUUACAAAGGGUCAAAAGCCGACAGUGAGCGCUACCAGGCCGCCCUGUGGGCUCAGGAUAGUUUCCCACCUACUCGACUGUAAUUAGUACUCUGGCGAGAGUAAAAAGGUACUGGCGUGGGACUUAGAAUACAGGAUGCCACCGGCUGAAGAAGAACCUUGUGUGUUUGGAAAAGCGGGCUGCUUCCUAUCGGUCUUGGAUAAAAGGCAACCCAGAGCCCGGGUGCAUCCCUAACUCAUGCCCAAGGAAGGUCGUGCGGAGCCAGAGGACCUAGAAUGUAUAGUGCGCCUUCUGGGUUUGUCCACACAAUAGCGCAGGAACACAGCGACCCAAUAUAGUGAGAAGUGGCCGCAGCGCACACCCUGAGACCCUUCACCAGGCGGCCCACCCGGAGCCUGCCUACUCAGCCCCGCUACCACGAUAAGCCUGGAAUGUCAAAUAUUUGUUCUAGGAACCCAGUGAAACCUUGAGGUCUUCGCUACAGGCUCAGGUUCAGUGAGGCAGAGUCUUGGCUUCCCUACCCAGUUAUCCCAGAGCUACUGGUAUCGGUUUCUACCCACAACCUCCGAGCAAGGCUCCCCUUUCAACCUGUAGACCUCGCCUCCCGAUUCUCGGGAGAUCUUGCUGACUGUGGAAUCCCUGGCUGUUCCGAACCCCCUGGAAAGAAGCGGCUGUUCCCAGGUUUCUGCAAGGUAACGAAUCUGAAGAGUCAACAGAAUUGAGCGGCUCCAUUCAUUCGACUCUGGUUCUCUCAACCAGGCAUUCCCCAUAUUAAAACAAUUCCAGAACUUCAAA
This 1043-nucleotide long non-coding RNA is filed under the name Mus musculus (house mouse). Its description in RNAcentral is "RIKEN cDNA 1810019D21 gene". Lineage: Eukaryota; Metazoa; Chordata; Mammalia; Rodentia; Muridae. The record is from RNAcentral.